AUUUGCGAAUGAGUAUUCAGUGUGUGUUUUUAUUUUUCUAUGUCGUGUGAGAGUGUUUUGUUUGCUAUGGAGAAGUGAAGAGUGAGUUCAUGACUCGGAGAGUGUGACUCAGUGGUUAUGCUGGUGGAGAAGAAAAGGAGACGCGUAUGGGAAAGUGAAAAGCGAAGCGGAUAGUGCUGCGUGGAUAAAGGAAGAGUUAGUAAGCCGUUGGUCUUAUAUUCUUUUCUUCGAAAUUGGCCCCGGGACUUUCGUAAAUUACAAGAAUGCUACUGUCACUGCCACAUCA
Molecule: long non-coding RNA, 286 nt
Filed under: Glycine max (soybean)
Lineage: Eukaryota; Viridiplantae; Streptophyta; Magnoliopsida; Fabales; Fabaceae
Description: long non-coding RNA (GMAX_LNC004206)
Source: RNAcentral